UUCCAGACUCCUACGGGAGGCAGCAGUGGGGAAUAUUGCACAAUGGGGGAAACCCUGAUGCAGCGACGCCGCGUGAGCGAUGAAGUAUUUCGGUAUGUAAAGCUCUAUCAGCAGGGAAGAAAAUGACGGUACCUGACUAAGAAGCCCCGGCUAACUACGUGCCAGCAGCCGCGGUAAUACGUAGGGGGCAAGCGUUAUCCGGAUUUACUGGGUGUAAAGGGAGCGUAGACGGCUGUGCAAGCCAGAUGUGAAAGCCCGGGGCUCAACCCCGGGACUGCAUUUGGAACUGCGUGGCUUGAGUGUCGGAGAGGCAGGCGGAAUUCCUAGUGUAGCGGUGAAAUGCGUAGAUAUUAGGAGGAACACCAGUGGCGAAGGCGGCUUACUGGACUGUAACUGACGUUGAGGCUCGAAAGCGUGGGGAGCAAACAGGAUUAGAUACCCCCGUAC
Molecule: ribosomal RNA, 447 nt
Filed under: uncultured bacterium
Lineage: Bacteria
Description: bacterial SSU rRNA
Rfam family: Bacterial small subunit ribosomal RNA
Source: RNAcentral